UGGCUCUUGAUGGUUAAAUCAAGCAAGGGCUAGAGCACCAGGCUCUGAUACUAUUUGUUGCCCAGAUAUGAAGCCCAAGAGGGGGGGGGGUAAAUUAGAUCUUUUUUAAAAUUUUAAAGAUUAAUACACUAAAACAAUGUGCUAAAGUAUUUGAGUAGAGUGGGUUGAUUUUCAAUAAAAAUAAAUUCAAACACAAAAGAUAGAAAUGCAAG
This 212-nucleotide long non-coding RNA is filed under the name Elaeis guineensis (African oil palm). RNAcentral's name for it is "long non-coding RNA (EGUI_LNC008176)". Lineage: Eukaryota; Viridiplantae; Streptophyta; Magnoliopsida; Arecales; Arecaceae. The record is from RNAcentral.